GUUUGUAAAGAAACCCGUAAUGUCUUUAAAUCACUCUUCCGUAAAUAGAUUACCUUUUUGCAGUGUUAGCAAAGCAAAGCAAACAAAACACUUGGGAGCGGAGCAAAACCAGUUGCAUAGACACUGUGGGAUACAAGUCAGCAAGCUCUGCAACUUGGCACAGGGAGCUUUCAGGAGGCUGCCGCUGGUCUGGAGAAGGUAAGUCAUGUUCUGUGGAUGUGACCAAUGUGUCCAAUUACAGUGAACAUCGAUGGUGGCAUCCACAGAACCCAGGUCUUACGACAGCUGGAAGAACACUGGCAAUGGAAUGCUGCCUGUCAAUCAUGUUCUCUUGAUAAGCACUAAGGACCAGCACAGCUCUUCUGAAGAGGAAGUGGAGCUUUGGCAGCAGUUACGAGAAGAGGAGAGUAAUAUUGUUUGCCCCAGUUUGAAGAUGACUGAUGUGAAGCACAGUGUUGAAGUUAUUGCAAAAGGCCGUGGAGCCAGUGAUGAUUACAGGGCGGAUUUGACCCCCGAUGUGCCCUCUCUGUACUUGUGCUGACGUGAAUCAUGCAUCACUUGCUCCCAGUGAAUGCCACCCAGCCUGAUGCCCUGUCACCAAGGGUGGUUUCACCACCACGAGAGGUGUGUAUUUUUUACUCCAGACCCCUAGAAUAUUCUGGCCCAAGAGCUAAGAACAUCACUUUGCAUCAGAAAGACCUGGAUACAAACAUUGUCUCAGCAAUUGACGAGUUGGGACACACGUCUAAGUUACUUACUUAAUCUUUCUGAGGACCAGUUUCCUUUUCUAUAAGUUUGGGCAACCCUCCCUAUCUUAUAGGGUUGGUGGGAACAUGAAAACUAAGGAUGGUGAGACUUCUGUGUCAGGCUAAGACAGUGAUUCCCUAUGAAGCACACGAGUCCAGGUGUGAGGUCUGUACAUCCUGGUGUUUUUGCUCCAAAGAAGACCGUUUCCCUCAUUGUUAAGAGUUUCCAUUCAGAUGAGCUCAACGGGAGAAGAUGGGCAUGAUCCUUUUCUUUGGUCAUCACUGGCUUUUGCCCUCGUCCUCAGAAUACACGUUUUUCAUGUGAAAUCUGCUCUCGGCUCCACCAAUCAACCAAGAACCUAGGCUACCCCAGCCUCUCCUGCAGCUGUUUCCUUGGCAACCAGAGCCCAGCCAGAGAGCUCACCAAACCACAGUGGGACCAAGUGAACCCCUGCAGGAAUAUCUGCACCUUCCUUUUAAAACGCAAGACACCACACCAGAGCCUCUUUCUCUUGCACUAAUGCCAACCCAGCUGCCAUCACUUCGUGUUUGUAGAACCCUGUCAUCUGGGCACCUCAAAGCAGAUACACGUUUGUGUCAUGGGUCUUUCCCUGUUGAGAUCAUCAUCAUUAUUCACGUUAUUCCUGUAAGGAAUCACCUGUGAGAAAAAUCAAAGGAUUCUCCAAUGGGCUCUUUUGUUCUCCUUAUCUUUUUUUUAUUUUUUUUAAACUCCGUGCAUGGCGCUCCCUCGCAGUUACUAUUGCAAAUGGAAUAGUAAAUAGGAAAAUGCCACACUACAGUGCUAAAAUGUUGGGGUGAAAAAUCACAAGGUAUUGUACAGUUCCCCAGUUAGUAUAGCCCCAUUGACCUUCCACGGUAAUCAAAACUGAGCUCACCUGAUGUCCAAGCCGGGUGUUGUGAUUGUGGUUUAUUUUCUGUCUGACUGGGACCGUCCGUGAAGAGGGCUCACACAGCCCGUAAGAGUGUCUUUUCUCUGUCAACCACCCCUCAUACCAGAGGUGUUCCUCAGGAGCUCCUCCCAGUAAUGGAGAGACUGUGGAGGAUUGCCAUUUGAUUAUAUGAACCUUUCCAAAUAGGGAUCAUUUAGGACAGGGCUUCUGAAGCCCUGGUGACUAUAUGAAUCACCUGGGGAGUUUAUUAAACACCUGGUUCUGAUUCAGUCUGAGGUCGGCCUUGAGCGUCUGCAUUUCGGACAAGUUGCCAGGUGGUGAUUCUACUGCAGGUCAGAGGACUGGAUUUUCAGUAGCCAGAGCUCAGGCUCUAUGUCCAUAUUCUUGUGAUGACAUGUGUACCUGUGCUUGCUCCCCAAGUGGGAGAGAAAGAAUAUACCUUGCAUUCUUAUAGGGAUUUCAGUAUUUUAAACCACUUUAAUAUUCCUCUUAGGCAAGCAGGAUAGGUAAUAUUGUCCCCCCACGCCCCAUAGCGCAUAGUUAAUGAGAUUCCGGAUCCAAUUUUUCAUACCUGUUCAUCACAAAAGACUAAUCAAAGUAGAAUGUUUUUGUCAUUAUUAGAGUAUGUAUAUGAAUUAGAAAAGCAUUAUUAUGAUUAUUAAACACACUCACAGACAAUAUCGAAAUGUUCUCUAAACCAAAGUGGGCUUAGGUUACAAGGAAAUUAUGUCCUAGAUCGCAGAAAGGUUCUUAGAGACAUCUCUGCGGAAGGGGGUUUCUUUAGCAAUGGUGCUUCUUCAGAAACUCCCUUAUCAUAGUCAAGUGAACUUUGCUCUGGCUCGAUAUUUGCUGGCUGCUGUUCAGAUUGAUUGAGAUUCCAUAAUUCUGGCGAGACUAACUAGAUGUCAGGGAAUAACCUACCUCCAAGCUCCAGGGGGUUGAAAUGGUGUGCUCCAUUUCCAAGAUAAACGUCCCCUUGGAACUUUAACGUGACCUGGUUUGGAAGAAGAGAGUAGAUGGAAUUAAGGUAAGGAUCUCCAGAUGAGAUCAGUCCUGCUUUAGGGUGGACCCUAGAUCCCAUGAUGACUGUACUUAUAAGAGAGAAGAAGACACAGGGGACGCGGGGAAGGCAUAUGAAAAUGGAGGCAGAGAACGGAGUAAUUAAUGCUGUGACAAUCCAGGAAACAGUGGGAGGCAUCAGAGCUGGGAGAAGCAAGUAAAGACUUUCACUGGAGAUUUUGGAGGGAGCUUGGCCCUGCUGACCCUAACUUCAGAUUUCUGGCCUCCAGAACUGUAAAACAAUACAGUUUUUAAAGCCUUCAAGUCUAUGGUCAUUUGUCGUGGCCACCCUAGGAAACAAACAACCCCUUCCAAAUCUUCCAAGGAUUAAAAAUGGUCCUGCCUUAGAAAGCUGCUCUCCGUGCUGUCGAGCUCUGUCCUCGGGUCACAGGCAUUUGGCCUCAGCGUGGCAGUUCUAUGUGGCACCUCCAGGGGAGAGUGGUAGCCUGAGCCCAGAAGACAGGGCAGUUUACCCUUAGGUAAACGGAAAUGUUAUUUACUGAGCAGACAUAUUUGUGGACUGAAAUGAACUCAGUGUACCUUAAGGAAGGUGAGUCACAACUCUGAAUUCAUUCAACAAAGUGAGACCCCUUGACUACUUUUUGAUGGAAAUAAGUAAGGAGAACUUUGGGUAUGUUUACAGUCAUGAAAUAUUUACACUCUUGGGUUUUCUUUCUUCUUCUUUUUUUUUAAUGCCUUGAAAAAGC
Molecule: long non-coding RNA, 3423 nt
Organism: Mustela putorius furo (domestic ferret)
Lineage: Eukaryota; Metazoa; Chordata; Mammalia; Carnivora; Mustelidae
Source: Ensembl